This 95-nucleotide transfer RNA is filed under the name Paractinoplanes deccanensis. Its description in RNAcentral is "Actinoplanes deccanensis tRNA-Glu". Lineage: Bacteria; Bacillati; Actinomycetota; Actinomycetes; Micromonosporales; Micromonosporaceae. The record is from RNAcentral.
GAUGCGCUGGCCGUCGCGGAUGAGGCGGGUGGCGUUCUCGACGCCGACGACGGCGGGCAGGCCGUACUCGCGGGCGAUCACGGCGCCGUGCGUCA